AUUGAACGCUGGCGGCAUGCCUUACACAUGCAAGUCGAACGGCAGCACGGGUGCUUGCCCCUGGUGGCGAGUGGCGAACGGGUGAGUAAUACAUCGGAACAUGUCCUGUAGUGGGGGAUAGCCCGGCGAAAGCCGGAUUAAUACCGCAUACGAUCUACGGAUGAAAGCGGGGGCCCUUCGGGCCUCGCGCUAUGGUGUUGGCCGAUGGCUGAUUAGCUAGUUGGUGGGGUAAAGGCCUACCAAGGCGACGAUCAGUAGCUGGUCUGAGAGGACGACCAGCCACACUGGGACUGAGACACGGCCCAGACUCCUACGGGAGGCAGCAGUGGGGAAUUUUGGACAAUGGGCGAAAGCCUGAUCCAGCAAUGCCGCGUGUGUGAAGAAGGCCUUCGGAUUGUAAAGCACUUUUGUCCGGAAAGAAAGCCUGGGCCCUAAUACGGUCGGGGGAUGACGGUACCGGAAGAAUAAGCACCGGCUAACUACGUG
Molecule: ribosomal RNA, 486 nt
Filed under: uncultured bacterium
Lineage: Bacteria
Description: partial 16S ribosomal RNA
Rfam family: Bacterial small subunit ribosomal RNA
Source: RNAcentral